RNAcentral lists this ribosomal RNA (117 nucleotides) under Paramormyrops kingsleyae. Lineage: Eukaryota; Metazoa; Chordata; Actinopteri; Osteoglossiformes; Mormyridae. The record is from RNAcentral.
GUCAGCAGCCAUACCGCCUGUAGUUCAGACUAUAUAAUCCAUCUGAAGCUAAGCAGGUUUGGGCUGGGCUAGUACUUGGAUGGGAGACCAGCUAGGAAAGCUGAGUUGCUGCUGGAU